This 627-nucleotide long non-coding RNA is filed under the name Rhinopithecus bieti (black snub-nosed monkey). Its description in RNAcentral is "lncRNA (ENSRBIG00000045678.1)". The record is from RNAcentral. Lineage: Eukaryota; Metazoa; Chordata; Mammalia; Primates; Cercopithecidae.
AUGCUACUGAUGGAAGGGGAAAUGGGGAUUUUAAAGCAGAAACAUUGCCCAGGGACACAGAAGCCCUGGAAGCGGACUACUACUUCCAGAAUGGGUGAGUUCAUCGAAGAAUUUUCCACUAGCAAUCGACUUGUCAUUCGUAGAGGGAGAGAGCCGGAGACAGAGCAAAGGCUGGCCACACUGGCAGUGGUUUCCGGUUGUUCAUUUGUGUGCCCGUGGUGGCCAGCGUGUUUGCAGUUGGGAGGAUUCUUCACCAGUCUAACACAUGCCUCAGUUUUCGGGGUUGGCACUGCACAGAGUUGGAACCUGAUGAAACGGCCCCAUUUGAGUGCCUGCUGUAUCGUGUUGGCUCUGCUUCCUGCAGCUGUGCUCCGAAAUGAGCCUUUCAGUCAUUGCUCCCUAAUAGCCCCAUCUCCCCGAAUCCGGGAGGAUGCACAUUCCUCUCCUUGCUCACAUGCCCCACUUCAAGCCAUCUGCACACUCUACAGGGAACUUGCCACCUAACGUCCUGAUGUGCAACCCCAUCCAAAUCCUCUGCUGGAAUCUCACUGUUCACACCACUGAUGCCCCUGGCAGAAAGGCCAGUCUUCUUGUCUUUUUAUUCUAAAUGUUUAAUACAGAUUCCAU